This 453-nucleotide ribosomal RNA is filed under the name uncultured bacterium. Its description in RNAcentral is "bacterial SSU rRNA". It matches the Rfam family "Bacterial small subunit ribosomal RNA", at positions 340 to 786 of the family's 1533-position model. The record is from RNAcentral.
UACGGAAGGCAGCAGUGGGGAAUAUUGCACAAUGGGCGCAAGCCUGAUGCAGCCAUACCGCGUGUAUGAAGAAGGCCUUCGGGUUGUAAAGUACUUUCAGUCGUGAGGAAGGUGUUAAGGUUAAUAACCUUAGCAAUUGACGUUAGCGACAGAAGAAGCACCGGCUAACUCCGUGCCAGCAGCCGCGGUAAUACGGAGGGUGCGAGCGUUAAUCGGAAUUACUGGGCGUAAAGGGCACGCAGGCGGUUAAUUAAGUUGGAUGUGAAAUCCCCGGGCUUAACCUGGGAAUGGCAUUCAAGACUGGUUAGCUAGAGUCUUGUAGAGGGGGUAGAAUUCCAUGUGUAGCGGUGAAAUGCGUAGAGAUGUGGAGGAAUACCGGUGGCGAAGGCGGCCCCUGGACAAAGACUGACGCUCAUGUGCGAAAGCGUGGGGAGCAAACAGGGAUUAGAUACC